CACCAGUCCACCACCACUGCUCGCACUCACUCCACCGCUGCCCACUUCUUGUUUGUAUUGUAUCCAGACUCCAGAGGAAGCCGAGAGGGCCAAUGAGGCAAGGCAUGAGCUCCCCUUCCGCCGCCGCGGCGCUCGUGCUCCUCCUGGCCCUGCUCGCCGGAGGCCAGUGCCGAGAGGCCCAGCUCGACGCCGCGGACGCCGGCACCGGCACGGAGAACUACACCGCCAGCGACGCCGCCGUGUACUGGGGCCCCUGGCAGAGGGCCCGGGCCACCUGGUACGGCCAGCCCAACGGCGCCGGCCCCGACGACAACGGUGGCGCGUGCGGAUUCAAGCACACCAACCAGUACCCCUUCAUGUCCAUGGGCUCCUGCGGCAACCAGCCAUUGUUCAAGGACGGCAAGGGCUGCGGCUCCUGCUACAAGAUUCGGUGCAGGAAGGACCCGUCCUGCUCCGGGCGGACGGAGACGGUGAUCAUCACCGACAUGAACUACUACCCGGUGUCCAAGUACCACUUCGACCUCAGCGGCACUGCGUUCGGCAGGCUGGCCAAGCCCGGCCUCAACGACAAGCUCCGCCACUCCGGCAUCAUCGACAUCGAGUUCACCAGGGUGCCGUGCGAGUUCCCGGGCCUGAAGAUCGGGUUCCACGUGGAGGAGUACUCGAACCCCGUCUACUUCGCGGUGCUGGUGGAGUACGAGGACGGCGACGGCGACGUGGUGCAGGUGGACCUGAUGGAGUCCAAGACGGCGCGCGGCCCGCCGACGGGGCGGUGGACGCCGAUGCGCGAGUCCUGGGGCUCCGUCUGGCGCAUGGACACCAACCACCGCAUGCAGCCGCCCUUCUCCAUCCGCAUCCGCAACGAGUCCGGCAAGACGCUCGUCGCCAACAACGUCAUCCCGGCCAACUGGCGCCCCAACACCUUCUACCGCUCCUUCGUCCAGUACAGCUAACCGAUCGGGAUCCGUGCCCUGCCCGCAAUUGGAGCUGGCUGGCUGGGGCGCUACUCGGCUCGGUCACCAUCGUCUACAGUACUAUACUAUGCUCUACUACCACUAGACUGCUGCUGUUACUACUAGUCUACUACCACCAAGUACGGCGGAACGGAACAGCUAGUCGUCGUCGGCGGCCUUGGGAGGGGAGGUGUCUCCGGUCACCGUGCCGUUGCAGUUGUAUCGUGAUCAUGGUCCUGGGAGUUGUUGCAUCCGGGGCGCGCUUUUUAGGUCAGGCGUCGUGUGCGAUGUUUGUGGGGUCAGGCUGGCAUGUCAUGCCGUGCGUGACCCUGAUUGCGAGCCGGCAAGCAAGAAGACAAAAAAACUAAAGCCGUGUGGGAAAAUGGAGGAGGCAGGCGUACAAGCUACGCUCUCCCGCCCACUGUUGCUUUUAUAAUUUAUCAUCAUCAUCAUCUUCAUUCCGAUCGGUGAUUAAUCGAAAAGUAUAUUGUAAUGUAUAAACGCCAUUUUCCUUUCGUCAGUGCCUUUUUUUUCCUGGUUGUGGAUGUUUUGUUUGCGCAUUCAGCCUUGCUGUGCUGAAGCCAAACGCAAGUAAUGUGCUGAAGCCAAACGCAAGUACACAAGUAAUGUACAUAAUGAAGAUGUGAAAGAAAGAAAAAACGACAGAAAUAUAAACUCCCGUUUGACG
This 1641-nucleotide unclassified non-coding RNA is filed under the name Zea mays. Its description in RNAcentral is "misc RNA Zm00001eb391320". The record is from RNAcentral. Lineage: Eukaryota; Viridiplantae; Streptophyta; Magnoliopsida; Poales; Poaceae.